UGGGGAAUAUUGCACAAUGGAGGGAACUCUGAUGCAGCGACGCCGCGUGAACGAAGAAGGCUUUCGAGUCGCAAAGUUCUUUUAUAUGGGAAGAUAAUGACGGCACCAUAAGAAAAAGCCCCGGCUAACUACGUGCCAGCAGCCGCGGAAAUACGUAGGGGGCUAGCGUUGUCCGGAAUCACUGGGCGAAAAGGGUUCGCAGGCGGAAAUGCAAGUCAGGUGUAAAAGGCAGUAGCUUAACUACUGUAAGCAUUUGAUACUGCAUGUCUUGAUAGGAGUAGGGGUAAGUGGAAUUUUUAGUGUAGCGGUGAAAUGCGUAGAUAUUAAAAAGGAUGACGGUCGCGGGGGCAAGUUGCUGGGCUCAUUCUGACGCUGAGGAACGCAAGCAUGGGUGGGGAACAGG
This 403-nucleotide ribosomal RNA is filed under the name bacterium. RNAcentral describes it as "partial 16S ribosomal RNA". It matches the Rfam family "Bacterial small subunit ribosomal RNA", at positions 355 to 776 of the family's 1533-position model. The record is from RNAcentral.